GGCCUUAUCGUCUAACGGUUAGGACGAAGCCUUCUCAAGGCUUAAAUCAGAGUUCGAUUCUCUGUAAGGUCACAA
Molecule: transfer RNA, 75 nt
Filed under: Candidatus Lloydbacteria bacterium RIFCSPHIGHO2_01_FULL_49_22
Lineage: Bacteria; Candidatus Lloydiibacteriota
Also listed under: 1 other name
Description: tRNA-Glu
Rfam family: tRNA
About the family: Transfer RNA (tRNA) molecules are approximately 80 nucleotides in length. Their secondary structure includes four short double-helical elements and three loops (D, anti-codon, and T loops).
Source: RNAcentral